ACACUCCUGCGGGAGGCAGCAGUGGGGAAUAUUGGACAAUGGGCGCAAGCCUGAUCCAGUCAUGCCGCGUGAGUGAUGAAGGCCCUAGGGUUGUAAAGCUCUUUCACCGGUGAAGAUAAUGACGGUAACCGGAGAAGAAGCCCCGGCUAACUUCGUGCCAGCAGCCGCGGUAAUACGAAGGGGGCUAGCGUUGUUCGGAUUUACUGGGCGUAAAGCGCACGUAGGCGGACUAUUAAGUCAGGGGUGAAAUCCCGGGGCUCAACCCCGGAACUGCCUUUGAUACUGGUAGUCUUGAGUUCGAGAGAGGUGAGUGGAAUUCCGAGUGUAGAGGUGAAAUUCGUAGAUAUUCGGAGGAACACCAGUGGCGAAGGCGGCUCACUGGCUCGAUACUGACGCUGAGGUGCGAAAGCGUGGGGAGCAAACAGGAUUAGAAACCCGAGUAGUCCCA
This 448-nucleotide ribosomal RNA is filed under the name uncultured organism. RNAcentral describes it as "partial 16S ribosomal RNA". It matches the Rfam family "Bacterial small subunit ribosomal RNA", at positions 333 to 797 of the family's 1533-position model. The record is from RNAcentral.